This 650-nucleotide long non-coding RNA is filed under the name Nicotiana tabacum (common tobacco). RNAcentral describes it as "long non-coding RNA (NTAB_LNC007699)". Lineage: Eukaryota; Viridiplantae; Streptophyta; Magnoliopsida; Solanales; Solanaceae. The record is from RNAcentral.
GAAACCCUAAUGCUGAUUGAAGGAAAGAGUUCAGUUUAGGAUUUAAAACCCUAAUGCUGAUUGAAGGAAAAAGUUCAGUUUAGGGUUUAAAACCUUAAUGCUGACUAAAGGGAAGAGUUCAGUUUAGGGUUUAAAACCCAAUGCUGACUAAAUGGAAAGAGUUCAGUUUAGGGUUUAAAACCCUAAUGCUGACUGAAGGAAAAAGUUCAGUUUAGGGUUUAAAACCCUAAUGCUGACUGGCUGGGGACAAAGUUCGAGGAUACUAACUGACCUCUUUUUUUGAAUUUUCUUGUUUUAGUAGAAGAUAAAAGGGAAUCUCUUGGAAACUUACCUUUCGAGUGAAUUCCUUAUUGCCAAACUGUUUCUUGUACUCAUGUACCUUCUUCUUUGGGUGACACCUGCUUCUUGCACGGUUGUCUUGGAUUAUGCCUGUUUCAACUUCUCAAACAAAGAAUAAUUGUUAGUUCGGAAAUGGCGGUUGGUUCGGUGACCUUGAUUGUUCCCACUGCUCAGGCUUGUAUUUCCAGAUUCUGGGAUGAUUUGCCUCGUAAGGCUCUUUAUGGUCCCGUUUUGCUCGGGGAUUUUAUUGGGGAUACUCUGUGGGGAUUUGUACAAGGCGGUCUUGCCGGGGAUUUGUUGCAAAGCGGACU